Molecule: unclassified non-coding RNA, 3392 nt
Filed under: Hevea brasiliensis (rubber tree)
Lineage: Eukaryota; Viridiplantae; Streptophyta; Magnoliopsida; Malpighiales; Euphorbiaceae
Source: RNAcentral
AGACCAGAAAAAGCAAACAAAUACAACGGGGAAAAAAACGAGAUCCACAACAAAAACUGAAAAAAAAAAGGGGGGAACUACACAACCCAUAUUCCACAAAUGAGCUAGUGGGUUCUUUACAUGAAGUAGCUGUAUACCAGAAAUUAAGCUAGUCUUUCUUCUUGCCGGCUGCAGCUAGGCAUCAAAAUAUUCGCUAUAUUCAUCUUCGUUGUCUUCAUGAAGCCAAUAUUUGCUGAAAUGCUGCACCUUGAACUUCCAUUCUCCUUUGACGGAAUCAUAUGACACGAAUUCAGCACCUUGAUCUCCUGCCUUCCUCUUAAGCAUUUCUUUAUAUUUCUCGAUUCUAGGACCCUCUGUAUACUGUUGUCCGGUCUUCUUAUCGAAACAUUUUAUGUUGAGAAGUGUCACCUCAGCAGGCUUGUUAAGACCUUGGCCGACAGGAGGUUUCUUACUUUCAUCCAUAUAGACUAUCACCUCCCGAUUGUUAAACUGGAUAAGAGACUCAAGAUCAAGACGACGGACAUCUGUUUCCCCUAUGAACUUGAUGCUACCGUACCCAUGUCUUCCAACCACAAAAUCCUUCACACGGCGACAGAAGCCAGGUUCAGCUCUUUCUUUGGCUGCCAAUUCCUGAAUCCGUGGUUCUGUGUAAUAAUCGGAAUGGCAGAGCUUUGGCAUCAGAGCCUCAAUGUCAGCCCCAUGUUCAUAAACAAUUGCUGCCUCACCAGCUCGAUGGCCAGUAAGGGUAAUGGAAGACCCUCCUCCUUUUCGGAGAUGUUGCCCUUCGUGGAGACCAUUAGGUUUCUGGUUCAGUUUGGUACUAUCGAGGCCCUCUUUAUCAAGGCCAUUCUCAACCGGAUCUUUGUUUUUAUCUUUUGCACUGGCCUCGUUAACUGGAGCACAAACAACUUCAGCAGUUUUACCAUUCUCAUGCGCUGGGAUAGACAUGUGCUUUGAUGGUGAUACUUUCUCCACACCACCUCUCGAAGGCCACUGGUCCACUGGACGAAUUACUAAAGCUCUUGGAUUCUCUCUGGGAACAAACAAUGCAUCUGCCUUAGGUGUGCUUGGUGUUUCAUCAUCAUCACUAAAGAACGGUACCUUAGUCCCCUCAGUUUUAGGAUGAUAUUUCCUUGCCGGCAACCUAACCCGUCUUUGAGAAAUGUGUCGAGAAGUUAGUAAUGAUGAUAUCCGGACAGGAACAGGUUUGUCAACCACCGGUAAACUAGAAAUCCCAUACUGUAUAGAAGAAGAAGUGCCAGUACGACCAAUUGACAUCUGAGGCAUCGCUGGUAAAGUUCCAAAUGGAUUAGUAACAACUGAAGGUUGUGCGACAACUGAGCUUUGGAUAGCUGGCGGCUGACUGAAAAGGCUGGGAGUGCCACCAAAACCACUUGCAGCAGCUCCUUGUGUCUGACCAAAGUUAUUGAACCCAAAAGCAGAACUAUGAGAAGGCUGAGUCAGUUGAAAAGGAGUUGAUAGAGAGGGCGUUGUUUGGCCAAAUCCCAUUGUACUGCUUGUAUUUAGCAGUGGUGCACUUGAAAACAGAUUACUACCAAAGCCAGUAGAAGGUGUACUAAACAAAUUGGAUUGACCAAAAGCUGGUGUAGUCUGGGCAAAAGAUGAUGUGGUCUGUCCAAAGGCCGAGUUCGUCUGUCCGAAUGAAGGGGUAGUUGAUUGGAAUAACGGUGAUGAUUGGGUGUUACCAAAGCUUAAGCUAGGACCAAAUGCUGAGGCAGUAUUCUGAGCAGACGAGGAGCCAAAAAUUGAUGUUGAUGACCCAAAACCCGAAGCACUAGCCGAUCCAAAGAGGGUCGGAGAUGUACUUUGUCCAAAAGCUGAAGUUGAUCCAAAUAAGGAAGGGGAAGUCGAGGAUGUAGAGCCAAAAGGAUUAGAUGUAUUUGAGCUUGGAAAGGCAGAGGUAUUAAAAGCCGGAGUAGUUGGGACUCCAAAAUUUGGAGUACUGAAUGUGGAUGGUUUGGGGGCAAAAGGGUUGGAAGAUGUAGAGGACGUAAAUGGAUUUGCAGAUGAUUGGCCAAAAGGGGAAGUUGAUGAUGAUGCGAAGGCUGAGCUUCCAAAAUUGAUUCCACCAGUUGAUUGACCCGCAGGAGCAGGACCUCCCUUGUCUCCCAACUGGUAAUCCUCCCACCUAAGUUCUUCAUGGCUCUUUUCUUUGUAAACUGGCAUGGCCGAAAUAGACUCUAGUUUCGCAGGCUGGGUACCACUGGAAUUAUCUGCAUCAGGUGUUGCCUGGUAAGCAGCAACUCGUGUUCCGCCCCGUUGACCACCAACGGCAGAUUGUCCAAAACUAGGGUUUCCGAAAGAUGAUGCAGAAGUUUGGGCUCCAAAGGCAGAACUUUGAGCACCAAAAGCUGACGUUGUUGUGCCAAACGGGCUACUGCCAAAAGCAGAUGUUGAUUGGCCAAAUGCAGGAGAGGAUCCAAAACUAAACGAAGGAGCACUUGGAGUACCAAAAGCAGGAGUUGAUGUGGAGCCAAAGGCAGAAGAAGUGGUAGUACCAAAGGACGGAGUGCCAGAUCCAAAAACAGGAGGAUUUGUCACACCAAAUGGGCUGCUUGUACUGCCAAAGGUUGGAUUAGGUGUAGAACCAAAGGCUGGAGUACUUGAUGUACCAAAAGCUGGUGUACUCGUUGGGGCACCAAAAGCAGGGGUCGUUGAUGAACCAAAUGUUGGAGUACUCGGAGUACCAAAUGCAGGUUGACUUGAAGUACCAAAAGGUGUAGAUGAGCCGAAUAGACCACUCCCAAAUGCCGGCUGUGAUUGUUGAAACGAGCUGCCGAAAGGACUUGUUUGAGCACUGCUUGAACCAAAGCCGCCAAAAGCUGGCUUUUGACCGAAUACUGAUGAACUCCCAAAUGCUGGUGAUGAACUGCCAAAAGUGGUAGUAGAAGCUCCAAAUGCAGGUGAGGAUGAUGCACCAAAAACUGAUGUAGACCCCAGAGGUGAAGAAGAUUGGGGGGUUCCAAACACUCCAGUGGAAGUGCUACCAAAAAAGGAAGCACCUGAUUGAGAACCAAAUGGAUUUGUACUGCCAAAAGGUUUUGGAGCAAAUGGGUUAUUACUUGUCUGCCCGAAACCUGAUUGUGACCCAAAUGGGCUAGAAGAUGACUGCCCGAAAGCAUUCGUGGACCCAAACAUGGUUGGAUAGUCAAAUCUUUCCCAGCAGUUGUUGGAGUGUCCAAGUUAAGAUAUAAUGCCUCAAUGAAUGAAAAAAAUCCUAUGCACUAGGUAUAUGCAUUAUGCUGAGAUGUACAAGGAAGAUGUUGCCGGCCGACGGACGACUAGCUGCUCGUUUUCGAUCUGAAAGCAGCAGAAAUAUCACCUGAAAAGGUCGCCGGAAGCUAGCGUUUGUACAACUUCGGCGGAGUUAG